Molecule: ribosomal RNA, 373 nt
Filed under: uncultured bacterium
Lineage: Bacteria
Description: bacterial SSU rRNA
Rfam family: Bacterial small subunit ribosomal RNA
Source: RNAcentral
ACGUAGGGAGCAAGCGUUGUUCGGAAUUAUUGGGCGUAAAGAGCGCGUAGGCGGUUCGGUAAGUCUGACGUGAAAUCCCAGAGCUUAACUCUGGAACUGCGUUGGAUACUGCCGAGCUUGAGUGUGGGAGAGGUGAGUGGAAUUCCCAGUGUAGAGGUGAAAUUCGUAGAUAUUGGGAGGAACACCCGUGGCGAAGGCGGCUCACUGGACCACAACUGACGCUGAGGCGCGAAAGCUAGGGUAGCAAACGGGAUUAGAUACCCCGGUAGUCCUAGCCGUAAACGAUGGGCACUAGGUGUUGGAGGUAUCGACCCCUCCAGUGCCGCAGCUAACGCAUUAAGUGCCCCGCCUGGGGAGUACGGUCGCAAGACUA